This 729-nucleotide ribosomal RNA is filed under the name uncultured bacterium. RNAcentral's name for it is "bacterial SSU rRNA". It matches the Rfam family "Bacterial small subunit ribosomal RNA", at positions 136 to 851 of the family's 1533-position model. The record is from RNAcentral.
GAGGGGGAUAACACUUGGAAACAGGUGCUAAUACCGCAUAACCAUAGUUACCGCAUGGUAACUAUGUAAAAGGUGGCUAUGCUACCGCUUUUGGAUGGGCCCGCGGCGCAUUAGCUAGUUGGUGGGGUAAAGGCUUACCAAGGCAAUGAUGCGUAGCCGAACUGAGGGGUUGAUCGGCCACAUUGGGACUGAGACACGGCCCAAACUCCUACGGGAGGCAGCAGUAGGGAAUCUUCCACAAUGGGCGAAAGCCUGAUGGAGCAACGCCGCGUGGGUGAAGAAGGUCUUCGGAUCGUAAAACCCUGUUGUUAGAGAAGAAAGUGCGUGAGAGUAACUGUUCACGUUUCGACGGUAUCUAACCAGAAAGCCACGGCUAACUACGUGCCAGCAGCCGCGGUAAUACGUAGGUGGCAAGCGUUAUCCGGAUUUAUUGGGCGUAAAGGGAACGCAGGCGGUCUUUUAAGUCUGAUGUGAAAGCCUUCGGCUUAACCGGAGUAGUGCAUUGGAAACUGGGAGACUUGAGUGCAGAAGAGGAGAGUGGAACUCCAUGUGUAGCGGUGAAAUGCGUAGAUAUAUGGAAGAACACCAGUGGCGAAAGCGGCUCUCUGGUCUGUAACUGACGCUGAGGUUCGAAAGCGUGGGUAGCAAACAGGAUUAGAUACCCUGGUAGUCCACGCCGUAAACGAUGAAUGCUAAGUGUUGGAGAGUUUCCGCCCUUCAGUGCUGCAG